This 2140-nucleotide long non-coding RNA is filed under the name Homo sapiens (human). RNAcentral's name for it is "FHIP1A divergent transcript, transcript variant 8 (FHIP1A-DT)". Lineage: Eukaryota; Metazoa; Chordata; Mammalia; Primates; Hominidae. The record is from RNAcentral.
GCAGUGUAGCACUCGCGCCCUUGGGGGCUAGCGUUUGGCCGGAGCUACACACUCUUUACUCACGCACGCACACCGCCGUACACAGCACAAUCGUUCACCGUCCCGCCAAAGGCUCGUCUCUCGGGUUCUGCCUAGUGGAAGGAGUCGGACAACGCCGCACGUCACGGGCGUUUCGGAUUUCUUGCUUCCCAAAGGUUUGACGGCGGCCACCGGCGCCCCGGCCCAGCUCUGCUUUCCUUUGCUGACUCCUUCCUUUAGGUGUGAAUUUUAAAAUGCUGAUACCGCCCCAAGAGAGCUGAGUCAAGUGAGGCAAACGUUCGCCUGUUGUUCUCCUGACAGACUCCCUGCAGUGGGCAGGGGAAAUGUGGCCUUGGCCGACAUUAAUGAAGUGCCAGGAUGGAGGGAGGGGGCCUGCUGAUUUGUUCUGUUUUACUUUUUAAGGGUAACUAGAGCGUUACUGGAGUCGUCUGUGGGUUUGGGGAGUAUGUGGCGCGUGUGUGUGUCACACAUUUCACUGGCAACUCCCGCCAACCCCUUCCCAAGAAAUGAAGGCUCUAAUGUGGGCAGUUCUGCAACAAAGGUGAAACUUCCCCAAAUCACGAUUCCCCGCAAGAUGAGAGAGCAGGUGCAGCAUCCAUUUUCCCACUAUCACGCUUGAGAUGGUGGCUUUGGGCACUGCCGGGUGCCCCGACAUCCUUCCCAGAGCCCAGCCUUCCCACCCAGGCCCGGCCCUGCGCGGCCGCCUGCCUUUGCAUCAGAGACCGCGGCUGUGCCAUUGCCAAGGUGGGCAGCGCCGCCUCGCUUCCCCAUUCCUCCGUCUCCCACGCCUCUUGCGUGUUUGAGUCGCGAAGUGAUGGACUUUAAAUCUCAGAGGAGGAAUGAGAAACUUGGUUAGUGGCUCUCUUGGCAUGUUCGUAGCCCUGUGGUUGAAGUGGCUGAAACCUGCGUUGAGCCUCAGUCCAAGCAGCUGGGGCCACACCAGUUUGCAAAAGCGGAUGUGGCAGUUUCCACCGCAGCAGCAGCCUGCUGGCGCCUCAUCAGAUUCUCCUUUGGAGGAAGUAUCUUCUUCCCUUCAUUCUCGGUGAAUGGCAUCCAGAGAUAACCAAAAUCAGGUGUAUCUAGUUUCAAGUUCUGUCUUGCAACCGUGAUAAUUGGAGGAUGCAAACUUUACACUUUCUUCUCUAGCUGUCUACCACCACUGCUGCGCUUGUGGAUGACUGCAGGAACACCGGGUACUUGCCACAAGUAUCUCUCCAGAUUCAUCAGCCUUUCACCUGUGACAAGCUCAGUCAAGAAGUGGCUCCUAAGUAAAAGCUGGGGAAGAACAAGGAAGAUAGAGCUCAGAGUAGAAAGCUGUGAAGUUCUGCACAACAGGUCCCCUUGGCCUGCUCUAACAGUUGGAAGGUGGGGGAAGCAUUCAUUUACUCAACAAAUAUAUACUGAGUGCCUUUUGCAUGCUAGGCACGCUUCUAGGGGUUGAGGACACAGCAGAGAGCACAAACAACAAUUCCAGCCCUCGUGGAGCUUACCUCUUCCACGUGGGAAAGACAGAUGGUAAAUGUAUAAGGACAAUAUAUGGACUGCUGUAUGAUUAGAAAUGCUAUGGAGAGGCUAGGAGUGCUGUCUCAUGCCUGUAAUCCCGCAGUUUGGGAGGCCAAAGGAGGAGGAUCACUUGAGGCCAGAAGUUGGAGACCCAACCUGGGCAACAUAACAGGCAUGGUAGCUCAUGUGGAAGCUUCCCGAGGCCCUCACCCAGAAGCAGAUGCUGGAGCCAUGCUUGUACAGCUUGCAGAACUGGCAACUUGUAUUGUAGGAAUCAUCAGGCAAUAAGAUGCAGGGAAAACUCUGGAUACUGCAUACCCAAAGUUGAAUACAUUUUUCUUCUUUUUGAAACUUUUAAUACACAUAAAGACAAGUGCACGUAUUAUAAGUAUAUAGUUCAGUUUAUUUCGACAACCUGAAUAAACCCAUGUAAUCAGCACCCAGAUCAGGAAACAGAAUCUGGAAGCUUCCUUGUGUCCCCUUCCAACCACUAUUUCCCCUCAAAGUUAAUCCUGACUUCUAACUGCAUAGAUUUGUCUUGUCUAUUUUUGUACUUUAUAUAACUAGAAUAAUAGAAUAGAUACUCUUUUGUAUCUGU